RNAcentral lists this ribosomal RNA (327 nucleotides) under uncultured eukaryote. Its description in RNAcentral is "partial 18S ribosomal RNA". It matches the Rfam family "Eukaryotic small subunit ribosomal RNA", at positions 1470 to 1796 of the family's 1831-position model. The record is from RNAcentral.
CCCUUAGAUGUUCUGGGCCGCACGCGCGCUACACUGAUGAAUGCAACGAGCUCUACCCUUGACCGAAAGGCCCGGGUAAACUUGUGAAACUUCAUCGUGAUGGGGAUAGAUUAUUGCAAUUAUUAAUCUUCAACGAGGAAUUCCUAGUAAGCGCGAGUCAUCAGCUCGCGUUGAUUACGUCCCUGCCCUUUGUACACACCGCCCGUCGCUCCUACCGAUUGAAUGGUCCGGUGAAAUCUUCGGAUUGCUGAUCAAAUUCCAGCAAUGGAGCUUGAUUGCGGGAAGUUGAUUAAACCUUAUUAUUUAGAGGAAGGAGAAGUCGUAACA